GCGGAGUGGCCGAGUGGUUGAAGGCACUAGUCUUGAAAACUAGAGACGCUGAAAGGCGUCCGUGGGUUCGAAUCCCACCUCCG
Molecule: transfer RNA, 83 nt
Filed under: human gut metagenome
Rfam family: tRNA
About the family: Transfer RNA (tRNA) molecules are approximately 80 nucleotides in length.
Source: RNAcentral